Centruroides sculpturatus (bark scorpion) is the source of this 4110-nucleotide long non-coding RNA. RefSeq lists it as uncharacterized. Lineage: Eukaryota; Metazoa; Arthropoda; Arachnida; Scorpiones; Buthidae. The transcript has 3 exons. The record is from RefSeq and is a predicted model, not a curated record.
AAGUGGAGAAAAAAUGGAAUGUACAAAGGGAUAGCCUAUAUGAGAGGAAAAAAUUAAUAAAAUUAGUAUUGUUGGUGGCAGUGGUGUUUUCUAUUUGGCCAGAAUUUUUACGUAUGUGUGUUCUGGCAUAAAAGCGUAAAACAGAAACUGAACCGAAAACUGAUUUCUGAUUCAGUUUUCUGCCACACAAUUUUACGCAUGUGUGUUCCUGGCCUUAAACACAAGAAGAUAAAGCGGAAAACUCACGUGACUAGCCCAUCGGUUAGGCGCCAAUCAACUUCAGUGUUCAGCCACUGGUGGGCCUGCAAUGGAGAAAAAUAUCCUUUUUCAUGAAGAUUUCUAUAAUAAAAUAUCAUUAAAACCGGCAGUUACCGGUAACUGCCGGUUGUUACCAAGGCGUGUUUAGAAAAUGUGAUCAAAAUAACAAACCACGUUUAAAAAUCACUGUUAUGUCGUCACCGGUUGCCCUGCGGUAGUUAUCGAAAUAACCACGGUGGCGGUUAUAGCUGUUCUGUUAAAUUACAAAAUGGCGGACACACUGUAUCGUUGUGGAGAAUGUGGCCGAGAUUUUAAAACUUUGGAUGAGAUAAAACAGCAAUUUGUUGGCCAAGCAAGAAGGUGUGGAGUUUAAUUGCCCAAACAUUGCAAGAAAAUGAUUUCCUUGUCACGGGUAAUCAAUGUGAUGAAAAAUGAAGAAACUUAAAGAAAAGUUAUAGGAAAAUUAAAAAUGGAAACAAGCAAACUGCCCGAGGAAGAAGCCAGUGGGAAUUUUUUUUCCCAUGAUGGAUGAGAUUCUCGGACAGCGGCCAAAUAUUGAACCACCUGCUACAUUUGAGAGUUUCUCUUCAACUUUACAGGUUUUGAGCAUGGUAAAAAAGCAAUUCAGAAGAUUUGAGCCUUCAACAUCAACUCUCUCUUCUCUUUCCAAACUCCCACAAAAGAAUAAGCGGAAGUCAGAAUGGUUUGAGGAAUACAAAGAACUGAAGGAAAAAUCUAGAGAAGUCUUUCUUCUCUGGAUUUUUCCUUGACAGCAACAUGACUGAACUAUUAGAAUUCGGGAGGAAACAGCAUGAGAAUAAUUUUUUAUUUCAGAUUAUUAAAAAAUAAUUAACAGUAACAAAUCACUUUGCAAUAUUUAGCAUUGAAGUUUAUUGUUAUCUAUUUAAAAAAACAUCAUGUAACUAACCACGAUGUUUUCUAAAUAGAUACCAAAAUAACAAUAAACACCAAUACUGUAUGUUGUAAACUGAUUUUCACAACAUUUGCAUUAAAAAGUUUCUUUUAUCCUGUGUUCGAGAACAUGUACUGUACUAGUUGAAUCUUGUAUGGAUUCACUAGAGUUGUCAUUAUUUACAAUUACAGUUUCAUCCUCUAAAUCGCCAUCAUGCAUUUGACAAAUAUUAUUCAAUACACAGCAGGUCAUAAUAAAUAUUAGAAUGAGAUAAGGGUUGCCCAUAUCCACAUAUCUCUAACGUCUGAAACGUCCUUUUAAUAAGCCAAAGGCACAUUCUACUAUGUUGCGUAUUUUACUAAGCCGUUGAUUUAAAUAUCCAUUAUCUCGGAAUGGCGUUAUUAAUUGUUCUUGCAGUGGAUACGCAGAGUCACCUAAAAGGUGUUAAAUCAUGUUUUAGAUAGAGUAUCUAGAUCGGAAAACAAUGCAUUUAAAUGGGUGCCGACAUAUUUAGUACAUUUUACUGUAUGUCAUUUACAGUUACUGUUUUAGUGUGUAUUCAUUUUCAUGUAAACGGUGUAUUUCAUAAACAUAAAGUUGAAUUAUUUUAAACGUGCUGAGCACGGCUAGUAUUGCUGUAACAAUCGGUCCAAAUAUGGCGGAUUGACGAUCAGAAUGCGCUUGUAUUCAAUCUGCGGACACUACUUUUAAGGAAAUAGUUACCUAUAUCUCGAGAUCACUACGGAUACAUAGUUUUCGGGUGUUCCCUGAACACCAAAAAGUCAAAAACACGGAAAAUCCCUGUGUAUAUAUGUUGGCAUCUAUUUCGUUUAUUAUCUGAGGAGGGGUAAAGAUUAAGAAAUGAAAUUUUGUACGGUUACUCCUUAUACAAGGGGCAUCGAUACUAUUAAAUUUUGGAGUACGAAGCUCGAGCGGGUGGGGAGAUAUGGAGGUGGUCACUUGAUGUCCUAAGCGUUUAUAAUGGAUGAUGUUGAUCCACUACAUCAUCAUCACCACACUUUCAGAUUUCAGAAUACUGUUAAUAUAAAUAUGCUUUAAUUCUUAGAUCAAUUUAAUAUAAAAAUUGAUUUUUAUAUCGAUAAUUUCGUUUUAUUUUACUCCACAAAUUUAAAUAAAUUAAUUAAUUUAAAAAACAAAUUUACGCAUAAAAUUAUUAUUAUCUAAUUUAAUACAUUUUGUAAAGGGUUGAAUUUUAAACUUUUUAAUGGCGGAAAUUCGAGUCAAGAUUUUGACGGUGGCACCAUCUGUCGAUUAUUUUAUUAAUUUAAAUAAAUAUUGAAAACCUCGUUUACUAUCGAAUCGACUCUUUCGUUUUUAGGUCAAAGGUCUAGCAAGCGUGCAACAUAAAGUGCGAUUUUCCCAAGAAAGCGCUCGCGAUCUACUGGUAAGAAGUCAGGGAUUUGAAAAUUGCGCCGCCCGACAAGAAAUACCCUCACGAAAAGCGCCAAAGAUAGGACCAGAGCGUCGCCAAACGGAGACGGGAGCCGAAAAAAGUACACUUUUUAAAUUAAUUCGGUGGACCGGCUCCAACCGAGCGGGUGUUGGAGACGGUAAUUUACGUAAUCUUCAGACACGCGGUCGAAGUAAGGAGUAAGAUUCGAGGGAUUAAAGAGGAGGAAGGGAUUAAAAAGAUGAUUUGGACAGUGAUGCGGAGAUCGUUUCACGCAUUACUUUUCUUAAUGGGAACGGUUCACGGAUUAGAUUACGCGGGUAAGUUACUCAUUUUCGAAUCAAAAAGGUAACGUGUCAUUAUUUAAAGUCACAUUUACGAAAUGGCAGACUUCCUGCACCCGUUUUUCUAAAUGGCAGUGUCAGCUGGCCAUCCGCCUAUUUAUAGUUCGAUAGAGGCUAUGCUAGAACUGUGACUAGCACGUGUUUAUCUUUAAACGAUGUUUUAAUCGUUUUAAAAAUGGAAAACACGUUUAUUCUCGGAUCUAAUCUGUUUGCCAGCGACACUUUUGUUUCUUGUUUUAUUUGUUUUGUAAGUUAAAACAAUCGAAAUUGUAAGGUCACUAGCGGGAAAUUCGAUUAAAGAUGAAUAGGUCAUUGUUCUCGUAGAGGAACAACGUGCAACUAUCAACGCUUUGGUGUUAGAUCUAGUGUUAGUAAUUAAAGUUUAAUGAGUAAAUUUUAAGUUUUUACUCUUUCGAGUAGUGGAUGAAACAUCGUUAUCUGCGAUAUAAAAUUCAAUGAAGUGGUAUAAUUUUAAUUUUGUCCUUAAUUUCUGCAGGAAGUCUCCAUUUAUUGGGAGUUAUUAAGCUUCAAACGGGGCGAACAAAAUCAGUGCCCCCCAUACACAUCCAUACAUACAGAAAUUACCCAAAAUCUUUUUUGCAUUUUUCGACGUUUCAAGGUCCCCUGAGUGCAAAAAUGUAAAAAUAUCUGGGGGAUCAUUUUUUGACCGAUCGCUAUACUUUCCCUCUGUUAUAUAUAACAGUCGGUAAAGUAAAAAUUUCUCUCCUAUCAUAUAAAAGAUAUAUCUGUAUCAAUUAGAAUUUUGAAUGUGUAAAAACUCCGACUAUAUAAAUUUAGUAUAAAAUUACACAACCCGCAAUGGUACCGCACAAGAAGCCACAGAAGUCUGCGGGUUUCCCAUUCCCAUUGGUAGACAUUUCAUAAUCAUGAAAAGUGUUCAUUUCCAACAAAGAGUUCGCUUGAUUUUUCCAGGUAUUUUUAUGAUUAGUAAAUACAUUCUAGUGUUAUUUGUUUAUUAAUUGUGAGCAGAACUCUAUUAUAUAAUCAUAACUUGAAACCGUUAAACGUAUUACGUGUCUUUAUUUUACAGGUGUGCCCGAUCCUCCGAGUACUCCCGUAGCCACCACGUUCUCCUCCAGAUCGGUAAAUCUGUCGUGGACUCAGAUCCAGAGCGAUUUUUAUGCUCCCGUUGAGUAUUACGUCGUCUUUGUAAAGUGUGUAAG